This 253-nucleotide small RNA is filed under the name Vigna angularis var. angularis. RNAcentral's name for it is "Non-protein coding transcript". Lineage: Eukaryota; Viridiplantae; Streptophyta; Magnoliopsida; Fabales; Fabaceae. The record is from RNAcentral.
AAAGCUUGUAGUCGAACUUGAAGGUGUUCUUUGGAUGGCAAACUGUGCACACUGCACCAAAGAGGAACACAUGGAAAAGAUAGUGCGAGGCAUGUGAGAAAACGAAGGAAUUGAUGAGAAUGAGCAAGUGCUGGCGUGGAAGUGAAGCGAACACGAAAAGUAUAACUUAUAUUGACAUAUUCCAAUCACAGCACAGUCCUUUUGUCUGCACUGGUGAAGCCUGAAGAUGAAGAAAUAAAGAAUAGCCACGAGA